GCUAUCUCUCGGGGUGGUCAAUUGGUUGUUAUAUCUCCACUAAUAAGCAGAGAGGGGUAAAACUCUCAAAGUAAGUUAUGUGGGUCAAGGUAUGAUGAUUAAUUGGAGUUCUAGUUCAUUUACUUUGAGAAAAUUAGAGUGUUUAAAGCAGCCUCUUGGGGCACUGAAUACAUUAGCAUGGGAUAAUAAAAUAGGAUCUUCACAAUAUAUUUUAUUGGUUUAAAUUGGAUAUGAAGAUAAUGAUUAAUAGGGACAGUUGGGGGUAUUCAUAUUGGGUGGUUAGCGGUGAAAUGCUCGGAUCCAUUCAAGAUGAACUAAAGCGAAGGCAUUUACCAAGGAUGUUUUCAUUAAUCAAGAACGAAAGUUAAGGGAUCGAAGACGAUUAGAUACCGUCGUAGUCUUAACUAUAAACUAUGCCGACCAGGGAUAUGAGUUGUUAGGAAUAUACGAAAGUAUAUUCAAUUCUUCUUAUGGACCUUGUGAGAAAUCAUAAGUUUUGGGUUCU
RNAcentral lists this ribosomal RNA (505 nucleotides) under uncultured eukaryote. RNAcentral describes it as "bacterial SSU rRNA". It matches the Rfam family "Eukaryotic small subunit ribosomal RNA", at positions 634 to 1114 of the family's 1831-position model. The record is from RNAcentral.